UCGGGCCGCUGGUUGGCCGCGACGGUGGCGGUCACGCCGCCGCGGCUGUGCGAGACGAGGACGACGGGGCCGUUCCGCUUGGCCCGCUCCAGU
RNAcentral lists this transfer RNA (93 nucleotides) under Streptomyces griseorubiginosus. RNAcentral describes it as "tRNA-Val". Lineage: Bacteria; Bacillati; Actinomycetota; Actinomycetes; Kitasatosporales; Streptomycetaceae. The record is from RNAcentral.